CCAGAGUCCAAGUCCACGGCAGAGCACCCCACAGCUUCGCGCCCACACACGAAAAACACACAGCGGCCGAGGCACCGAGCCAGUCCGGUGAAGGAAAAGCCAAACGGAAGCGGAAAAACUAAAAGUUUAAAGCCCCGAUUAGGGAUGAACUGUUAAAUAUUUUGCGGAAAUACGCGUAACUAAUUGCAGUGAAUCGCUUGACAAAAGUGUCGGGCUGGUGAAAGUGAAAAGAAAAUAAAUUGAAAACUCCUAAGCACUUUUUUUCGCACAUGUUUUCCAAUGCAACGGUUUUCUUCUGUAUCUGUUUUCCGAGAGACCCCAGCCAGGGACUGUAAUUAACAGAGCCUGGGCCCCCACGUAGAGCCGUCUAGGAUCCCAGCCGUGCAACAAACGCAGAAUUCCAAGACUCCAAGAAGCACCUGCUCAAGGACCUACGAAAAUGAUUGUACGCCGCCGAUCUCGUCGAGCCCGCAUGUGGAACAUGGGGCUGCUCUUCCUCAUCUACUACUGCGUCAGCAUCUAUUCCGCCAAGGGCGACACAAAGGAGUCCCUGCCCCUGGACGUCGGCAGCCUGGCCGAGGACGCCGGUGAUGCGGAGUCGAAUGGACUGGACAACACCGAAGCCAACGCUGUCCCGGAUACAACCCCGUGGCCCGAGACCCUGUCAACCACACAGGCCACUCCUGUCCACGGAGCGGUACCCACUUGGCGGCCCAAGCGCGACAACUGCACCCCGCCGGCCAUCGAACAGUUCCCCCAGCCACUGAUGAACAAGUGGGCGCGACAGCAUGGCGGCCUCAUCUUGCACAUCCUGGUGGCAGUCUUCACCUUCUUCGGGCUGGCCAUCGUCUGCGACGAGUACUUUGUGGCCAGUCUGGAUCGACUGUGCGAGGAACUCAAACUAUCGCCCGAUGUGGCUGGAGCCACCUUCAUGGCUGCCGGAAGUUCGGCUCCUGAGUUAGCCACCGUGGUGAUCGGCGUGUUCUUCGCCAAGGACGACAUAGGAAUCAGCGGGGUGAUUGGAUCCGCCGUCUUCAACAUCAUGUUCGUGAUCUCCGUCUGCGCCCUGUGCUCGGGCACUGUCUGUCAGCUGAACUGGUGGCCACUGGUGCGGGACUGUUUCUUUUACUGUGUCUCUAUUCUAGUGAUGCUGAUAAUAAUCUUCAACGACGUCAUCUCCUGCUUCGAGUCGGUGGUGAUGCUCCUGUGCUACGUUGGAUACUGUGUGGCCCUCCACUUCAACACGGAACUGGAACGCUGGGCCUUGGGCCUGAACCUGCCCUUCAAGCUGCCCAGCAAGGAGGAGCAGUCGGCGCUGGUGACCUACAAGAAUGUCCCCGAGAGCACCUACACCCAAGGAGGCGGCGCCCAGGGACGGGAGCAGACCCAGCAGACCAGCCUGUCCAAGGAACAGAACGAAGGAAUGCCGACGGAACCUCAAAGCGACUAUCAGAACUACAGCGAUCCCAACGCCAGCUGGGACCCGAACUCCGCCUGGGGCGAGGAGAACCAACCGAAACCAGUCGUCAGUGCUAGAUUCAAUCCGCCGCCGGUCGACGAUUGGGGCAUGGGCCAGUUCAACCAGGGCCAAGGGCAGGAGAACAUGGCCUACAAUGCCGACCAGCCAGAGUCUGUGGUAACAGGAGAGGCGGCGGCAGCGGCAGCAGCUUCUAAGCCGGCCGCAACCACGGCGGCAGCCACAACCGGAACUGUUGAUUACUACAAGUCCACGGACAAGCAGCGAGAGCCACGGCCCGAUCCCCUGAUCCGACCCACGGAGGGUGGUCUGCCAGCACUGGUCGCCUGGUAUGUGGUCUAUCCGAUCCACUACCUCUGCAAGAAGACGAUGCCCGACUGUCGACAGGAGCAGUACCGCAACUGGUAUCCCUUCACGUUCCUCAUCUCGAUGGUGUGGAUCUCGUUCUAUUCGUACUUUAUGGUCUGGAUGAUCACCGUGAUCGGGUCCACUCUGGCCAUUCCGGACACCGUGAUGGGUCUGACGUUUGUGGCCGCUGGCGUGUCCGUCCCGGAUGCCCUAAGCUCAAUAGCCGUUAUCAAAGAGGGCUUCGGCGACAUGGCCGUAUCGAAUGCAAUUGGCUCGAAUGUCUUUGAUAUACUAGUGUGCUUAGGUCUCCCCUGGUUCAUACAAACGGCCAUCAUAAAGCCCGGCUCGCACGUCAACGUAAUAUCCAAGGGUCUGGCCUACUCCACGCUGUCGCUCUUCUCCACCGUUGUCUUCUUGAUCCUGUCCACGCACCUGAACGGCUGGAAGCUGGACAAGCGACUGGGCAUCAUCCUGAUGGUCUGGUAUCUGUUCUUCAUCACGCUGGCGUCUCUCUACGAAAUGAAUGUCUUCGGCUACAUGAACCCACCCGAGUGUCCCAGCACUUAUUAAGUCCCGAAGGACGAUGGCAGCAUGCACUUAUAAUCGCAUUACCAGCACCAAGUACCAUAUACAUAGAUGCAUACCACACAUAUAUAUAGUGUCGUUCAUAGCCGCAGUUAAAGUAAGACCAUCAAAUAUUGCAACAAACCAAAAUUCAAAGGGAAUUAAAUGAAGUUGAAUGGAACAUUUACCUAAAGUUAAUUAGAGGACAGGAAUAAUACUCAAAAAAAAAAAGGCAUUUUACAUGGAUUUUUACAUUGCACCAAAAAGGAUCGAGGCAAUUAACAAACCGUAUAUGUACAACAAAACGAAGAGUAUACAUAAAUGAUAAAUAGAACUGUAGAUAGGGAGACAAAAAUAUAUGUAACUAAAAUCACGAGAACCAGAUACAAGAAAUACUAGCAGUGGUCGCUAACUAUUUUAGUGAGGAGCUUGUUAAAAUGGAUAACCCGAAUCGAAAGCCCCAGUUAUGUUUUACAACGAUAUCCUUGGUCAAUAGCCUGUAAUUACAGACUUAGUUUUAGUUUAGAGACAUUCCUGUAAAAAGUCCCUUUAUGGUUUAUGGAGCCACCCGAACACCAGUGGGUUUCCGCUUGGUCGCCCUCAAGGACUCACAAGACGAAAUCAACCGACCAGAACCGCCGAAUCAGGCGCCGUGGAAAACGAGCAACGAAUUUUUAUUAUAGUUUAUAUUAAAUAUUCUGUUUUAGUUCAUACCUCGAACAAAAAAGAAGAGUGUGCAUAUUUUUUUAUAUAUUUAGUCUGACGGUCGAUGCGAUAAUUUAACAAAUCCACACGAAAUAAAUUCGUUUAGAAAUACAUAUAAUACGUCCUAGGUUUGCCGAACACCACAUAAAACUUAUCAAAAAAUAGCAAUGAAAUUAAAAAGUGCAAGGUUACUUAAUCUCGAGGCAAUUAAUCGUGUCAAUUUUUUAUUGCAAUUAAUAUUAAUAUCGAACAAUAUUAAAUAUAUAUUAU
This 3364-nucleotide unclassified non-coding RNA is filed under the name Drosophila ananassae. Its description in RNAcentral is "GF18207". Lineage: Eukaryota; Metazoa; Arthropoda; Insecta; Diptera; Drosophilidae. The record is from RNAcentral.